This 466-nucleotide ribosomal RNA is filed under the name uncultured Syntrophus sp. RNAcentral describes it as "bacterial SSU rRNA". It matches the Rfam family "Bacterial small subunit ribosomal RNA", at positions 338 to 795 of the family's 1533-position model. Lineage: Bacteria; Pseudomonadati; Thermodesulfobacteriota; Syntrophia; Syntrophales; Syntrophaceae. The record is from RNAcentral.
CCUACGGGUGGCAGCAGUGGGGAAUCUUGCGCAAUGGGGGAAACCCUGACGCAGCAACGCCGCGUGAGUGAAGAAGGCCUUCGGGUCGUAAAGCUCUGUCGGGUGGGAAGAAACACAUGGGGGUGAAUAGCCUUCAUGCUUGACGGUACCGCCAAAGGAAGCACCGGCUAACUCCGUGCCAGCAGCCGCGGUAAUACGGGGGGUGCAAGCGUUGUUCGGAAUCAUUGGGCGUAAAGAGCGUGUAGGCGGCGUGAUAAGUCAGAUGUGAAAGCCCUGGGCUCAACCCAGGAAGUGCAUUUGAAACUGUCUUGCUUGAGUACGGGAGAGGGAAGAGGAAUUCCUGGUGUAGAGGUGAAAUUCGUAGAUAUCAGGAGGAACACCGGUGGCGAAGGCGACUUCCUGGCCCGAUACUGACGCUGAGACGCGAGAGCGUGGGGAGCAAACAGGAUUAGAUACCCCGGUAGUC